RNAcentral lists this long non-coding RNA (1693 nucleotides) under Cricetulus griseus (Chinese hamster). RNAcentral's name for it is "lncRNA (ENSCGRG00015040943.1)". The record is from RNAcentral. Lineage: Eukaryota; Metazoa; Chordata; Mammalia; Rodentia; Cricetidae.
GUGAUUCAUUUCCCAUCCCACCUUGAACUGUGCUGAAGGAGAAGCAUUGAAAUCGAAAGUAGAUGAAAGAAGAAAAUUGCAAAUUACCCAGGUUUUUGAGGCCAAUUUUCAAAAGGAAAGCAAACAACCUGUGACAUGCAAGGGUUUAUCAUAUAAUUGCUGCUUCAGCAAGCAUCAAUGCUAUCUACGUGGAAGCUGUGUUUCUCCCUGGAGACUAAUAUGUAUUGAUCAAGCAAGACCCACUGAAGCAGUGGCCCAACUGAUGCUACAUCCAAAUCAGCUGAGAUGAUGCAGCCAUAGACAACUACAGACAGGAUUUCUGCGUUUAAUCAUGAUCCCCAUGAUGACAGUAGCAGUCUGCCUUGUCUGGGUCAGUGUACUGUCUGGCUCUGAUCAUACCCAGAAUCGACUGAGACCUGGAGUAUAGCCAGAGACUGACUGGUGAGAAGUUGCACUGUUGAAGCUUUUAUUAUUACUCCUUGCCUCUGAUUAAAGGACUAUGUGAUCAAGUUGAGCAUGGAAUAAGAACAAAAAAAGCAGAGUGAUCUCAAUUCCAGCAACGGUAGCAAAUCCAGUCAUUCUCUUAGAGCUCUCCAUCACAAGUGUUGAUUCACUAUUCUCCCCCACCUGGAUAUGUGUGCACCAGAUACAGAGAAAUUGAAAUUGGAUGAGAGCAGAAAAAAUGCAACUUACCUUUUCUCUGACUCCGAAUUUCAAAAGAAAAAAAAAACAGGUAGCAAGUACUAGAUGAUUAUAUAUCUGGCUGCUUGGACUUACAUCCCAACUAUAUAUGUGAAAGCCUCCAUUUCUGUCUGAACGAAGCUGGUUUUGAUCCUGGGCUGCCCAUAGCUGCUUGCUGAUAACAUUUUUGAUAUGCUGUGUCAGAAUCCCCAAUUACGAUGAUAAAUGCUGAAUUUAAAUGGUUUUUCAUGUCUUUCUUUGGACAUAGAUGAAAUUUCCUCACUCAGAAGUGGAUAUUAGACAUAAAGCAAAGGAUACCCUACCUACAGUAAAUAAUCCUAGUGAAACUAGGUAACAAAGAUGAUGGUAAGAGAAAUAUACAUGUAUCUCCCUGGCAAUGGGACAUAGACAAGAAAUCCACAAUGAUUUAGUGAUAAUGAAGUGGACAAGGAAGGAUGGAAGUAGAGAGAAGCAGUGAGGAGGGGAGUGUUAGGAGAACAUGAGAGAAUGGGAUGGUCCAGAUGGAAGAAUAAGAGAUGAGACCAAGGAAUGAGAUAUCUUGACAGAGGGAGAUAUUAUGGGGUUAGGGAGGCACCAAGAAAUUUCCCUGUGAUCUACAAAAAAGACACACACCCUCCCCCGCUAAAAUUCUAAGCAACACAUUAGAGUGUUCCUGAACUGUCCUUCAACUAUAAUCAUACUGACAGCAACCUUAAUUGUCAUCAUGGAAACUUCAUCCAGUAAAUGAUAUAAGCAGAUGCAGCUAUAUACAACUAAAUACUUGGUCAAGCUUCAGGUGUCAAUUUGAAAAGAUCAAGUUACAAUAAUAUAAACAAAGGGGUCAGUCCCAUAAUGGGAAACUUAAAGAAACUGCCAACAAGAUCUAGCAUACUUCUUAGUGAGUUGAUGUCACAAAGCCACUUAUAAAUAGUUUAUGCUAUUCUUGGGAAACAAUUCAACCUUACUUCGUGACAGCUGAGAAUGUAUGCUGAAAUUGUAAACUUGGCCAAGG